ACUAAAUGAAUUCCCUUUUUGAAUCCAUUGUAUAUUUCAAUAUUUCGAACCAUGAUCAGCUCACUAUUUCCUGAGCUGGAACUUGCUAACUUCUAUGAUCGUUUUUUCAUGAAAGUUGAGAAGGCCGGGCCUUGGCCUUUUGUUUCUUCAUGAGAAGGUGUGACACUGCCUAUAAAUGUUUCUUACUGUGAAACACUCUGAAUGUGAGGCUGUAGUCAGGGUUGUUUCUGGUACUCGUGUCUAAAUCAGGGUAUUUGACAAUCUCAGAUGAUGCUACUGCCUAUGUGCCAGUUAGUUCAUCUUCCUACCAAGAUCAUGAAUGGCACCACACUAUCCACUAGCUGUACAAUUUACAGAGAAGCACAAGAUUCAUCUUGUCACCUACAAUUCGUCUUGAACAUGUUCAUAUUUAGUAUUUUCUUUAUAUUGAGGUCUACGCACUUCUUGACUUUCCAUUUUGUCUGUAAUUAUAAAACAGCAAAUAACAAAGAAGCAUUGGGACCCCCUCGGCUGCCUUGAUAAUAAAAUCAAGCUUCCUU
This 539-nucleotide long non-coding RNA is filed under the name Homo sapiens (human). Its description in RNAcentral is "non-protein coding lnc-ZC3H12B-2:5". Lineage: Eukaryota; Metazoa; Chordata; Mammalia; Primates; Hominidae. The record is from RNAcentral.